RNAcentral lists this non-coding RNA (28 nucleotides) under Bombyx mori (domestic silkworm). Lineage: Eukaryota; Metazoa; Arthropoda; Insecta; Lepidoptera; Bombycidae. The record is from RNAcentral.
UGAGACUUGAGCCUUCUCGGAUGAGGUU